GAGGGAGAUAGAGAGCACGGCUGGAAAAAUUCUGAGGCAAAACAGAAAUCAGAGAGAAGGCAGCCGACAGAGAGAGUUUUUUUGGGGAGAUAGAGAGAGGGAUAGGAUCGGAAAAGAAAGACCAGAGAAAGAGAACGGAUGACAACGGAGAGAAAAGUUUUGAGAGUGGCGGCUGAAAAAUCUUGAGGAAGUAGAGAGUGUGUAUGCGAGACGGUAAAAGAGAGAAAACAGCAAAAGAAAAAGAGUCUGACUUAGGGUUGCAAGAGGAUGACUGAAUCAUCAUCAUCGCGUUCCGUUGGCGUGACUUUGAAGUUCUGGUAGAACCAUCCGAACCUUUUCUCGGGCAUCCCUCGCCUCGCUUGGUGAUUAAGGUAUUAUCUUCAUCUUUUAUCAGUUAGAUACCAUCAGAUUUGGCUCAGAAAUGUUGAGAUAUUUCCUGUUACGUUUUGGGUCGUUUUUCUCUUUCCUUCAUGGUUGUUCCUCCUGUGC
Molecule: long non-coding RNA, 489 nt
Filed under: Coffea arabica (coffee)
Lineage: Eukaryota; Viridiplantae; Streptophyta; Magnoliopsida; Gentianales; Rubiaceae
Description: long non-coding RNA (CARA_LNC003725)
Source: RNAcentral